UACGUAGGGGGCAAGCGUAGUCCGGAAUCAUUGGGCGUAAAGAGCGUGUAGGCGGCCAGAAAAGUCCGCUGUGAAAACUCGAGGCUCAACUUCGAGCUGUCGGUGGAAACUUUCUGGCUAGAGUCCGGAAGAGGAGAAUGGAAUUCCUGGUGUAGCGGUGAAAUGCGCAGAUAUCAGGAAGAACACCCGUGGCGAAGGCGGUUCCCUGGGACGGUACUGACGCUGAGACGCGAAAGCGUGGGGAGCGAACAGG
RNAcentral lists this ribosomal RNA (253 nucleotides) under uncultured bacterium. Its description in RNAcentral is "partial 16S ribosomal RNA". It matches the Rfam family "Bacterial small subunit ribosomal RNA", at positions 524 to 776 of the family's 1533-position model. The record is from RNAcentral.